AAAAAGGCAAAUCAUGGAUUUUCGUGUCCAACUUUGACUGUCCGUCUUAUAUGAAAUUUUUUUAUAAUUCAUAUUUUUAUUGUUGUUAGAUUAUAAAACAUGAUUAAUAUUUUAUGCGUGAAUUGUCUUUUUAAUUUUUUUCAUAAUUUUUUUAAAUAAGACGGACAGUCAAACGUUGGGCACGGAAACUAGGGCUUGUCUUUUU
Molecule: non-coding RNA, 205 nt
Organism: Oryza glumipatula
Lineage: Eukaryota; Viridiplantae; Streptophyta; Magnoliopsida; Poales; Poaceae
Source: Rfam